Molecule: ribosomal RNA, 446 nt
Filed under: uncultured bacterium
Lineage: Bacteria
Description: partial 16S ribosomal RNA
Rfam family: Bacterial small subunit ribosomal RNA
Source: RNAcentral
CCUACGGGUGGCAGCAGUCGAGAAUCAUUCACAAUGGGGGAAACCCUGAUGGUGCGACGCCGCGUGGGGGAAUGAAGGUCUUCGGAUUGUAAACCCCUGUCAUGUGGGAGCAAAUUAAAAAGAUCGUACCACAAGAGGAAGAGACGGCUAACUCUGUGCCAGCAGCCGCGGUAAUACAGAGGUCUCAAGCGUUGUUCGGAAUCACUGGGCGUAAGGCGGGCGUAGGCUGUUUCGUAAGUCGUGUGUGAAAGGCGCGGGCUCAACCCGCGGACGGCACAUGAUACUGCGAGACUAGAGUAAUGGAGGGGGAACCGGAAUUCUCGGUGUAGCAGUGAAAUGCGUAGAUAUCGAGAGGAACACUCGUGGCGAAGGCGGGUUCCUGGACAUUAACUGACGCUGAGGCACGAAGGCCAGGGGAGCGAAAGGGAUUAGAUACCCGGGUAGUC